GUGGGGAAUCUUAGACAAUGGGGGAAACCCUGAUCUAGCCAUGCCGCGUGAGCGAUGAAGGCCUUAGGGUUGUAAAGCCCUUUCAGCUGGGAAGAUAAUGACGGUACCAGCAGAAGAAGCCCCGGCUAACUCCGUGCCAGCAGCCGCGGUAAUACGGAGGGGGCUAGCGUUGUUCGGAAUUACUGGGCGUAAAGCGCGCGUAGGCGGAUUGGAAAGUUGGGGGUGAAAUCCCGGGGCUCAACCUCGGAACUGCCUUCAAAACUCCCAGUCUUGAGUUCGAGAGAGGUGAGUGGAAUUCCGAGUGUAGAGGUGAAAUUCGUAGAUAUUCGGAGGAACACCAGUGGCGAAGGCGGCUCACUGGCUCGAUACUGACGCUGAGGUGCGAAAGCGUGGGGAGCAAACAGGAUUAGAAACCCGAGUAGUCC
This 425-nucleotide ribosomal RNA is filed under the name uncultured bacterium. Its description in RNAcentral is "partial 16S ribosomal RNA". It matches the Rfam family "Bacterial small subunit ribosomal RNA", at positions 354 to 796 of the family's 1533-position model. The record is from RNAcentral.